RNAcentral lists this ribosomal RNA (324 nucleotides) under uncultured bacterium. Its description in RNAcentral is "bacterial SSU rRNA". It matches the Rfam family "Bacterial small subunit ribosomal RNA", at positions 28 to 334 of the family's 1533-position model. The record is from RNAcentral.
GAUGAACGCUGGCGGCGUGCCUAACACAUGCAAGUCGAGCGAAGCACUUUGCUUGGAUUCUUCGGAUGAAGAGGAUUGUGACUGAGCGGCGGACGGGUGAGUAACGCGUGGGUAACCUGCCUCAUACAGGGGGAUAACAGUUAGAAAUGACUGCUAAUACCGCAUAAGCGCACAGUACCGCAUGGUACGGUGUGAAAAACUCCGGUGGUAUGAGAUGGACCCGCGUCUGAUUAGCUAGUUGGUGGGGUAACGGCCCACCAAGGCGACGAUCAGUAGCCGACCUGAGAGGGUGACCGGCCACAUUGGGACUGAGACACGGCCCAG